GACGUCACAUUGUUGCUUGUUUCUACUUUUUUGAAAGAGCUACUCUCGAACGUAGAUUAGCCAUUGCCGUCGUGUCGGCUGCAAGACGUUCUGCGCGCGCUUGGCGCGCUUUUGUGCGUGUCGAAAGCGUAUAACGUGCGCGAUAUUCGUGCGAGCGCAGUUUGACUUGAGCAAUCGUGGGUUUGGACUCCGUGACAUUAGCUUUCGUCAUAUGCGAGUUAGGGGCUUGCCGACAGGUAAACCGCCGCUGUACUUAGAUGCAAAAGCUGCCUCCCUUAUCUGGAACAGAAUAAAUUCCUUUCGAAGGCAAAAUAAAAAACAGAAAGAGAAGUCAUCAAGGCAUUCCACAUCCAUCUUAUUCAGUCUUUACAGUGUUGCUACAUCACCAUUUGCUUAGCCUCCUAUGCCAAAAAAAAUUGUCGAAAAUAAAAUGACCUGAUUCCCAUGUUUUUCACCACCCAA
Molecule: long non-coding RNA, 462 nt
Organism: Dermacentor andersoni
Lineage: Eukaryota; Metazoa; Arthropoda; Arachnida; Ixodida; Ixodidae
Source: RefSeq, a predicted model, not a curated record